Molecule: transfer RNA, 77 nt
Filed under: Deinococcus soli (ex Cha et al. 2016)
Lineage: Bacteria; Thermotogati; Deinococcota; Deinococci; Deinococcales; Deinococcaceae
Description: tRNA-Arg
Rfam family: tRNA
About the family: Transfer RNA (tRNA) molecules are approximately 80 nucleotides in length.
Source: RNAcentral
GCGCCCGUAGCUCAGAUGGACAGAGCACCUGACUUCUAAUCGGGGGGUCGCUGGUUCGAAGCCAGCCGGGCGCACCA